Molecule: long non-coding RNA, 676 nt
Organism: Quercus robur (English oak)
Lineage: Eukaryota; Viridiplantae; Streptophyta; Magnoliopsida; Fagales; Fagaceae
Exons: 2
Source: RefSeq, a predicted model, not a curated record
UAGACACAAAAUCAAACAUAUUACGCCCAAAGUCUGUACACACCCCUUCGUAGCUUUUUGACCUCCAAUGUGUGUGUCCCGUGCGGCGUGGUAGGAGAACACGCAUAGAGACUCACGUUUCCAAGUUUGCUUAAUAGUGGGCCUAUUUUCGAGCCCAUGAAAGAAAAUGAGUCCAUAUUUCAUUAUAUAAGCAGCAUUUUAGGUUAAAGUGUUUUAUAAUUUUUAUGGACAGAGAGGAAGCGGCGGCAGCCUAUGAUGGGGAGAAAUGCGUGUGCAUCUUUACCCACCAGAUCUGUUUGGCCCAAUUAAAGCCUAUGACUUAUAAAAUUGUACAUCACAAGCAUCCCCUCCAUGUCACCCAUUCUUCUCAACUCAACUUUGUAAAUAUUAACAGAGAAGGCCAGAAAAUGAAGAAUCAUUUUGAAGAUGAUGGAGGUGAACUUGAUUAGAGGUAUGUUUCUAUUCUGCUUAAGUGGUUUGUGGGGCAUCCAAAAUGAAGUUAAUGAGCUUACUAGUAUUGAUUGGUUUGGUAUUUAGUACAACUGUCAAAUUGAAUGAAGUUUGUAUAUAUUUACAUUGUUGGUAAAAACUCUCAAAAGUGAUACUGGUUGUUUGACACAUGAUAUUUUGAAAUUUUAUGCUAUUCACUAAUGUUAGGAAAGGAAUGUUAUUUGCA